RNAcentral lists this ribosomal RNA (1332 nucleotides) under Triplosphaeria sp. HC 4665. RNAcentral describes it as "bacterial SSU rRNA". It matches the Rfam family "Eukaryotic small subunit ribosomal RNA", at positions 92 to 1088 of the family's 1831-position model. RNAcentral also lists the same sequence under 1 other name. The record is from RNAcentral. Lineage: Eukaryota; Fungi; Ascomycota; Dothideomycetes; Pleosporales; Tetraplosphaeriaceae.
AAUGGCUCAUUAAAUCAGUUAUCGUUUAUUUGAUAGUACCUACCAACUACUUGGAUAUCCGUGGUAAUUCUAGAGCUAAUACAUGCUAAAAACCCCGACUUCGGGAGGGGUGUAUUUAUUAGAUAAAAAACCAAUGCCCCUCGGGGCUCCUUGGUGAUUCAUGAUAACUUAACGGAUCGCAUGGCCUUGCGCCGGCGACGGUUCAUUCAAAUUUCUGCCCUAUCAACUUUCGAUGGUAAGGUAUUGGCUUACCAUGGUUUCAACGGGUAACGGGGAAUUAGGGUUCGAUUCCGGAGAGGGAGCCUGAGAAACGGCUACCACAUCCAAGGAAGGCAGCAGGCGCGCAAAUUACCCAAUCCCGACACGGGGAGGUAGUGACAAUAAAUACUGAUACAGGGCUCUUUUGGGUCUUGUAAUCGGAAUGAGUACAAUUUAAACCCCUUAACGAGGAACAAUUGGAGGGCAAGUCUGGUGGAAACUCAGCUCCCAUUCUGCUGACGCCAGAGAUAGUCGGGCACCGAGAGGUGCUACGCCGGCUAGUCGAGCACCCGCCGAUUGGUGGGAGGGUGCCGGCAAGACAACCUGGAUCGGGGGAGGCUAAGGCACCCAGGUGCUAAGCUAAUCCCGAGCAGAGCCCCCGCGGAGGGAUCCGCGGGCGGCCUGUGUAGAGCACGGUAAGGUGUCGGCCAGCUCAAGGAGCUGGCUUAAGGGACGUGCCAUUCCCGCCCGAAAGGGCGGCUGCCAGCCUCAGCGCCCACCACGCGAGGGCUGGCAGGUCCGGGGGCAUCGCGCCCCCCGGGCGCAGUAUCAAAAGGCCAGCAGCCGCGGUAAUUCCAGCUCCAAUAGCGUAUAUUAAAGUUGUUGCAGUUAAAAAGCUCGUAGUUGAACCUUGGGCCUGGCUGGCCGGUCCGCCUCACCGCGUGUACUGGUCCGGCCGGGCCUUUCCUUCUGGAGAGCCGCAUGCCCUUCACUGGGUGUGUCGGGGAACCAGGACUUUUACUUUGAAAAAAUUAGAGUGUUCAAAGCAGGCCUUUGCUCGAAUACGUUAGCAUGGAAUAAUAGAAUAGGACGUGCGGUCCUAUUUUGUUGGUUUCUAGGACCGCCGUAAUGAUUAAUAGGGAUAGUCGGGGGCAUCAGUAUUCAAUUGUCAGAGGUGAAAUUCUUGGAUUUAUUGAAGACUAACUACUGCGAAAGCAUUUGCCAAGGAUGUUUUCAUUAAUCAGUGAACGAAAGUUAGGGGAUCGAAGACGAUCAGAUACCGUCGUAGUCUUAACCGUAAACUAUGCCGACUAGGGAUCGGGCGAUGUUUCUAUCUUGACUCGCUCGGCACCU